AUACUUACCUGGCAGGAGAGAUACCAUGAUCGCGAAGGUGGUUUUCCCAGGGCGAGGCUUACCCAGAGCCCUCUGGGUGUGCUGACCCCUGCAGUCUCCCCAAAUGUGGGAAACUUGACUGCACGAUUUGUGGUAGUGGGGACUGCAUUCGCACUCUCCCCU
This is a small nuclear RNA of Artibeus jamaicensis (Jamaican fruit-eating bat), 162 nucleotides long. RefSeq annotates it as U1 spliceosomal RNA. The transcript has a single exon. Lineage: Eukaryota; Metazoa; Chordata; Mammalia; Chiroptera; Phyllostomidae. The record is from RefSeq and is a predicted model, not a curated record.